Molecule: ribosomal RNA, 248 nt
Filed under: uncultured bacterium
Lineage: Bacteria
Description: partial 16S ribosomal RNA
Rfam family: Bacterial small subunit ribosomal RNA
Source: RNAcentral
UACGUAGGGUGCGAGCGUUGUCCGGAAUUAUUGGGCGUAAAGGGCUCGUAGGCGGUUUGUCGCGUCGGGAGUGAAAUCCACUGGCUUAACUGGUGGCUUGCUUUCGAUACGGGCAGACUGGAGGUAUGCAGGGGAGAACGGAAUUCCUGGUGUAGCGGUGAAUGCGCAGAUAUCAGGAGGAACACCGGUGGCGAAGGCGGUCUCUGGCAUGUCCUGACGCUGAGGAGCGAAGUGUGGGAGCGAACAGG